RNAcentral lists this ribosomal RNA (434 nucleotides) under uncultured Lachnospiraceae bacterium. RNAcentral's name for it is "partial 16S ribosomal RNA". It matches the Rfam family "Bacterial small subunit ribosomal RNA", at positions 341 to 792 of the family's 1533-position model. Lineage: Bacteria; Bacillati; Bacillota; Clostridia; Lachnospirales; Lachnospiraceae. The record is from RNAcentral.
ACGGAAGGCAGCAGUAGGGAAUAUUGCACAAUGGGGGAAACCCUGAUGCAGCGACGCCGCGUGAGUGAAGAAGUAUUUCGGUAUGUAAAGCUCUAUCAGCAGGAAAGAAAAUGACGGUACCUGACUAAGAAGCCCCGGCUAACUACGUGCCAGCAGCCGCGGUAAUACGUAGGGGGCAAGCGUUAUCCGGAUUUACUGGGUGUAAAGGGAGCGUAGACGGCUUUGCAAGUCUGAAGUGAAAGCCCGGGGCUCAACCCCGGAACUGCUUUGGAAACUGUAGAGCUAGAGUGCAGGAGAGGUAAGUGGAAUUCCUAGUGUAGCGGUGAAAUGCGUAGAUAUUAGGAGGAACACCAGUGGCGAAGGCGGCUUACUGGACUGUAACUGACGUUGAGGCUCGAAGGCGUGGGGAGCAAACAGGAUUAGAUACCCUGGUA